This 443-nucleotide ribosomal RNA is filed under the name uncultured bacterium. RNAcentral describes it as "partial 16S ribosomal RNA". It matches the Rfam family "Bacterial small subunit ribosomal RNA", at positions 338 to 795 of the family's 1533-position model. The record is from RNAcentral.
CCUACGGGAGGCAGCAGUGGGGGAUAUUGGACAAUGGGGGGAACCCUGAUCCAGCGACGCCGCGUGAGUGAAGAAGUAUUUCGGUAUGUAAAGCUCUGUCAGCAGGGAAGAAAGAAAUGACGGUACCUGACCAAGAAGCCCCGGCUAACUACGUGCCAGCAGCCGCGGUAAUACGUAGGGGGCAAGCGUUAUCCGGAAUUACUGGGUGUAAAGGGAGAGUAGACGGUUAAGUAAGUCUGGAGUGAAAGGCCGGGGCUCAACCCCGGGACUGCUCUGGAAACUAUUUAACUUGAGUGCAGGAGAGGUAAGCGGAAUUCCUAGUGUAGCGGUGAAAUGCGUAGAUAUUAGGAGGAAAACCAGUGGCGAAGGCGGCUUACUGGACUGUAACUGACGUUGAGGCUCGAAAGCGUGGGGAGCAAACAGGAUUAGAUACCCCAGUAGUC